This 468-nucleotide ribosomal RNA is filed under the name uncultured bacterium. RNAcentral describes it as "partial 16S ribosomal RNA". It matches the Rfam family "Bacterial small subunit ribosomal RNA", at positions 28 to 507 of the family's 1533-position model. The record is from RNAcentral.
GACGAACGCUGGCGGCGUGCUUAACACAUGCAAGUCGAACGGAAAGGCCCUGCUUUUGUGGGGUGCUCGAGUGGCGAACGGGUGAGUAACACGUGAGUAACCUGCCCUUGACUUUGGGAUAACUUCAGGAAACUGGGGCUAAUACCGGAUAGGAGCUCCUGCUGCAUGGUGGGGGUUGGAAAGUUUCGGCGGUUGGGGAUGGACUCGCGGCUUAUCAGCUUGUUGGUGGGGUAGUGGCUUACCAAGGCUUUGACGGGUAGCCGGCCUGAGAGGGUGACCGGCCACAUUGGGACUGAGAUACGGCCCAGACUCCUACGGGAGGCAGCAGUGGGGAAUAUUGCACAAUGGGCGGAAGCCUGAUGCAGCAACGCCGCGUGCGGGAUGGCGGCCUUCGGGUUGUAAACCGCUUUCACCUGUGACGAAGCGUGAGUGACGGUAAUGGGUAAAGAAGCACCGGCUAACUACGUG